CCUACGGGAGGCAGCAGUGGGGGAUAUUGCACAAUGGGGGGAACCCUGAUGCAGCGACGCCGCGUGGGUGAAGAAGCGCCUCGGCGCGUAAAGCCCUGUCAGCAGGGAAGAAAAUGACGGUACCUGAAGAAGAAGCCACGGCUAACUACGUGCCAGCAGCCGCGGGAAUACGUAGGGGGCAAGCGUUAUCCGGAUUUACUGGGUGUAAAGGGGGCGCAGACGGCGAUGCAAGCCAGGAGGGAAAGCCCGGGGCCCAACCCCGGGACUGCUCUUGGAACUGCGUGGCUGGAGUGCAGGAGGGGCAGGCGGAAUUCCUGGUGUAGCGGUGAAAUGCGUAGAUAUCAGGAGGAACACCGGUGGCGAAGGCGGCCUGCUGGACUGCAACUGACGUUGAGGCCCGAAAGCGUGGGGAGCAAACAGGAUUAGAUACCCGUGUAGUC
RNAcentral lists this ribosomal RNA (440 nucleotides) under uncultured bacterium. RNAcentral describes it as "partial 16S ribosomal RNA". It matches the Rfam family "Bacterial small subunit ribosomal RNA", at positions 338 to 795 of the family's 1533-position model. The record is from RNAcentral.